RNAcentral lists this ribosomal RNA (484 nucleotides) under uncultured Pseudomonadota bacterium. Its description in RNAcentral is "bacterial SSU rRNA". It matches the Rfam family "Bacterial small subunit ribosomal RNA", at positions 355 to 857 of the family's 1533-position model. Lineage: Bacteria; Pseudomonadati; Pseudomonadota. The record is from RNAcentral.
UGGGGAAUAUUGGACAAUGGGCGCAAGCCUGAUCCAGCAAUGCCGCGUGAGUGAUGAAGGCCUCCGGGUUGUAAAGCUCUUUCGCACGCGACGAUGAUGACGGUAGCGUGAGAAGAAGCCCCGGCUAACUUCGUGCCAGCAGCCGCGGUAAUACGAAGGGGGCUAGCGUUGUUCGGAAUUACUGGGCGUAAAGGGCGCGUAGGCGGUUUGUCAAGUCAGGCGUGAAAGCCCGGGCUCAACCUGGGAACUGCGCUUGAGACUGGCAGGCUCGAGUUCGGGAGAGGAUGGUGGAAUUCCCAGUGUAGAGGUGAAAUUCGUAGAUAUUGGGAAGAACACCGAUGGCGAAGGCAGCCAUCUGGACCGACACUGACGCUGAGGCGCGAAAGCGUGGGGAGCAAACAGGAUUAGAUACCCUGGUAGUCCACGCCGUAAACGAUGAGUGCUAGACGUCGGGGCCCUCAGGGCUUCGGUGUCGCAGCUAACG